UUUGAUUAGAGAUAUUUAUAAAUAAAUAGAUACAAAUACGGAUACAUGAAUGUAUAUUCGCCCGCCAAUAUAUUUAUCGAAUAGCGGAUAUUAGUGUUGGAAUAUGGAGCAGAAUUAACGAGAAGAAUAACACAGUAAAUUGUAACAACUUAGCUAGAAACCGACGAAAGCCGAGGCGUAACAAAAUUAUUGUCCUAAAAAGUGAUUUUGCCCCCACUGAUAAUAAUUAUAUGUACAAAUGGGCUGCUGACGAUCACCCUCCAUGAUUCAACGGUGAAGCCUCCGAUCGUGUGUACUCACAGAAAGAGACUUUGGACUUGUCUAUGUGGAUUGCCCGAUUACAGAGUAUAUGUAUAUAGAAGGAAAAACAGAAGAAGAAAAGAUUGUAGUAUGCGUCUUGUCUCUUCUGAAGAACAGAAUUGGAAUAUAUAUAAUUAAGAAGAAGAAGAACGUUGAAAAAGACGUUGGGAAAUCAGUAACGUAAAAGGGAACUAAUUAACGUGAACGUUGGAGAGAAAAAAUAACGUUAAUGACGUUUUCUAGAAACGGAAAAGAAAUAAAAGUUAGGGAUUUAAGCAAUGCAACUCCAAGAGCAACCUUCAUACGAAGGUUCCAAGACACCAAGGUUCCAAGUUAAUUUCUUCUUCCUUUAACCCUGCAGUUCAGCGAAAAUGAAUUAUAAACCUUCACGAGCUGCACACAAAAAAAGGAGCAGAUCUGAGUGUGAAAAGCUGGAAAGGAAAAAAGAAGAAGCAGACCUGAGUGUGAAGAAGGUUUGGAGAGAGGGAGAGAGCACUGUACGACAAAAUACAAUAAUG
This 818-nucleotide long non-coding RNA is filed under the name Panax ginseng (ginseng). RNAcentral's name for it is "long non-coding RNA (PGIN_LNC012214)". The record is from RNAcentral. Lineage: Eukaryota; Viridiplantae; Streptophyta; Magnoliopsida; Apiales; Araliaceae.